UACAGAGGUCCCAAGCGUUGUUCGGAUUUACUGGGCGUAAAGGGUGCGUAGGUGGUGAGGUAAGUCUGAUGUGAAAUCUCCGAGCUUAACUCGGAAAUGGCAUUGGAAACUACCUUGCUAGAGGGUUGGAGGGGGGACUGGAAUACUUGGUGUAGCAGUGAAAUGCGUAGAUAUCAAGUGGAACACCAGUGGCGAAGGCGAGUCCCUGGACAACUCCUGACACUGAGGCACGAAAGCUAGGGGAGCGAACGGG
RNAcentral lists this ribosomal RNA (253 nucleotides) under uncultured prokaryote. RNAcentral's name for it is "partial 16S ribosomal RNA". It matches the Rfam family "Bacterial small subunit ribosomal RNA", at positions 524 to 776 of the family's 1533-position model. The record is from RNAcentral.